GCGGGAAUGGCUCAGUUGGUAGAGCGCUACCUUGCCAAGGUAGAGGUCGAGGGUUCGAACCCCUUUUCCCGCUCAG
RNAcentral lists this transfer RNA (76 nucleotides) under Ehrlichia ruminantium str. Welgevonden. Its description in RNAcentral is "tRNA-Gly". It matches the Rfam family "tRNA". Rfam says of the family: Transfer RNA (tRNA) molecules are approximately 80 nucleotides in length. Their secondary structure includes four short double-helical elements and three loops (D, anti-codon, and T loops). The record is from RNAcentral. Lineage: Bacteria; Pseudomonadati; Pseudomonadota; Alphaproteobacteria; Rickettsiales; Anaplasmataceae. RNAcentral also lists the same sequence under 1 other name.